RNAcentral lists this ribosomal RNA (495 nucleotides) under uncultured bacterium. RNAcentral's name for it is "partial 16S ribosomal RNA". It matches the Rfam family "Bacterial small subunit ribosomal RNA", at positions 28 to 523 of the family's 1533-position model. The record is from RNAcentral.
GAUGAACGCUAGCUGGAGGCCUAACACAUGCAAGCCGAGGGCUAUAUUUCUUUAGGGAGCUAGAGACCGGCGCACGGUUGCGUAACGCGUAUGCAACUUGCGCUACGGAAGAGGAUAGACCAGAGAAAUUUGGAUUAACACUUUAUAACAGGUUUUCUCGGCUGACCAGACUAUGAAAGAUUUUCCGCAGUAGGACAGGCAAGUGUACGAUUAGUUAGUUGGUAAGGUAACGGCUUACCAAGACGAUGAUCUUUAGGGGGCCUGAGAGGGUGAUCCCCCACACUGGUACUGAGACACGGACCAGACUCCUACGGGAGGCAGCAGUGAAGAAUAUUGGACAAUGGGUGGAAGCCUGAUCCAGCCAUCCCGCGUGUAGGAUGACGGCCUUAUGGGUUGUAAACUACUUUUAUCUGGGGAUAAACCUAUCUACAUGUAGAUAGCUGAAGGUACCAGAAGAAUAAGCACCGGCUAACUCCGUGCCAGCCGCCGCGGUAA